AAUAAACGCUGGCGGCGUGCCUAACACAUGCAAGUCGAGCGAGAAAGCUCCUUCGGGAGUUAGUAAAGCGGCGAACGGGUGAGCAACACGUGAGAAUCUACCCUUUAGUGAAGAAUACCCUCGAGAAAUCGAGGCUAAUACUGCAUACGUCCCUUCGGGGAGAAAGAUGGCCUCUUUGCUAUCGCUAAAGGAUGAGCUUGCGUACUAUUAGCUAGUUGGCGGGGUAAAGGCCCACCAAGGCAAUGAUGGUUAACCGGCCUGAGAGGGUGUACGGUCACACUGGAACUUAGACACGGUCCAGACUCCUACGGGAGGCAGCAGUGAGGAAUCUUGCGCAAUGGGCGAAAGCCUGACGCAGCGACGCCGCGUGGAGGAUGACGGUUUUCGGAUUGUAAACUCCUGUUAAGCGGGAAGAAAGCCUUGUUUCUAAUACAAGCAAGGUAUGACGGUACCGCUAGAGAAAGCACCGGCUAACUUCGUGCCAGCAGCCGCGGUAAAGUGACGCU
RNAcentral lists this ribosomal RNA (506 nucleotides) under uncultured bacterium. RNAcentral describes it as "bacterial SSU rRNA". It matches the Rfam family "Bacterial small subunit ribosomal RNA", at positions 29 to 532 of the family's 1533-position model. The record is from RNAcentral.